Molecule: long non-coding RNA, 4253 nt
Organism: Danio aesculapii
Lineage: Eukaryota; Metazoa; Chordata; Actinopteri; Cypriniformes; Danionidae
Exons: 6
Source: RefSeq, a predicted model, not a curated record
CCAAAACAAAACAAAACACGUGCAGUUUGUUUUAAACGCAUAAUUUACAGAUGACAGCUCAGCGACAGACUCUUGAUGUGUUUAAACAGCACAUAUUGAAGUUCAGCAGCAAAAUAAAGCAGCAGAAUCUGUGAUAAAGUGCAGGAAUCAAGUGAAGAGACUCACCUGAUGAAGGAUGUGUUUGGAGAACAGAAGCAGAGCUCUGGGACAUUUGGACAGCCGUGGACUGUGAUGAUGGACUUCUGCUGAUGGACAGGAUGAAGGAUGUGUUUGGAGAACAGAAGCAGAGCUCUGGGACAUUUGGACAGCCGUGGACUGUGAUGAUGGACUUCUGCUGAUGGACAGUGUCCCGUUAACCAGAUGCUGAAAUACAGAGAUCAUUUGACGAAUAUAACCUCAACAUCAACAGCACUUAUGUUUCUAGUCCGUGUACCAUCAUCUCUGGUCCGUGUUUUUCAUGGUUGUGCAUCCAUCCUCCCUGUUUCCGUGGCAGCCAUUGUUCCGGUAUCCACCUCUUAUCUCUUACCGCCCCAGGUACCGCUUCACAUUUCUUCCAGUAUCCGCUUCUUGUCUCUUACCGUCACACCUUCUUUCCAGUAUCCGCCUCUUGUCUUGUACCGCCCCAGGUACUUCGCUGUGUCCACAGCUGUCUUUAGGUGGAUUCGAACCCACAUCUCAUCGGUAACCUUGUCCGCAACCAACGGUGCUUGCCACUAGUGCCAUUGUGGCUUUCACACUGGGAGCUGUACUUCGCGCAACUUUGUCUUUUCUUUUCACAACAGUUUAACAUAAAGAUGAAAGGGAUUCGAACCCCGGUCUCCAAGAUGAAAGCUGAGUGCUCUACCCACUGACCCGUUUGGUCUGUGUAGUGGAUUGUUGUCUUCAAUGGGGUUUUAUAGAUAUGUUUAUGGCGGAUACAUAAAAUUGUAUUGUUAGUGGGAUUCAAACCCAUAUAUAUGAAAUAGCAGAGAACAAACGUUUAUCCUCUAGGCCACAAAGGCAGCAACGAUUAGGAUGUGAUUGUUUAGAGAGUAAUUCUUGUUUUUACUUCAGUUUAAGUAUAAAUUAACGUUUACAUUUCACUUAGCAAGAAUGUGAUUCGAACCCACAUCUCUGCGAUCCCAAAAAUGCAAAGAGCAAAUAAUUAUCCUUUGCACCACAGAGGAAGUGAUGGUUCUUGCUGAUUGUUUUGACAGUAAUUCUUGUUUUUUCUUAGCUUAAGCAUUAAUAACAAUAUAUUUAGGCCUUUGCAAGAGUGGAAUUUGAACCCUCGUCUGUGCGUUUCAAAGAAUAAACAAAGUGAAUCAUUAUCCUCUGCACUACAGAGGCAGGAAUGAUUGCUGUAUGAUUGUUCUGAGAGUAAUUCUUGUUUUUAAUUACAAUAGAUUUCACUUUAGCAAUAGUGGGUUUCAAACCCACGUCUCUGCAAUCUAAAAAACACAAAGACUGUUUAUUUAUCCUCUGCCCCACAGAGGCAGCAAUGACUGGUGUGUGCCUUUUUUGAUAGUAAUGCGUGAAUUUCAUGCAGGUGAAUUAUAUUUUUGGGCUUGGAGCAGAGUCAGGUCUCGAGUACAGGUCAGCAGGAACACCACAGUGUUAUAAGACAACACACUAACCACUAGGCUAUGGGGACUGAGAUGAAGAAUCAUUCUGAUGGCUAAUUUAAUCAUAUCUCAAUCACAUCCUGAUCAUUUCUUUAAUUAACAGCUUCAGCUGAUUUCAAUUAAGACUGUAAGUUCACUCAGGAAAGUGGCUCAUCAGGAGCAGACACUGAUCUGAUCUCUUACAGCUCUCUGUUAUAAAUAAACCUGUCAUUAAAUGCCAACGAAUAUUUAGUGUUGAAAGUUGUGAACAUUCCCCAAGAGAGAUUUAAACACACGUUACACUAAGACACUAAUAGUCUCAGAAUAUCUUUUGUCCCCUGUGUUAUGCAUUUACAACAUAUCUGCUGGUUCAGCUCCUGAAGAAAUAUUGUAAAUUUAUUACUUAAGAUGGAUUUGAAGUUCAGGCUUAGCACAGAAACUUUUCAUACAUUUAUUUUGUCAGACUGUUCAUGACUCUUAUAUUGUAUCUUAUUAAGUUCAAGCCCAUUAUCUGUCUCCAUGUUGCACAUUUUCUGUAUUUCUGCUGUGUUCAAGUAAUUUUUUGAUUAUUUUUUAAUGUCACACGCACGCACAACUAUUAAUAAAGCAAAAUCAAAUGAAUGACCAAAUUAAAGAAUACCAAAUAAACUGAGAUAUUAUAAAAAUGCUUUAAUAACUUAAGAAAUGUAUUUUUCCACAUCCUCAGUUUCGUCUCAUAAAUGUUUUGUUUUUUUGUAAUUAUUUGAACAGCAGAGUUUGUCAAAUUUGCUCUGAAGCCUCUUGUUAUCUGAACGUCCUUCAUUAGCAGCCUCAGGUGUUUAUCAUCAGGUAACUCUGGAAAGUGGAUCUUCAGGAUCAGGAUUUUUCACCUUAAGAAAUAAAAAAAUACUUUGUACUCCAGUGUCAUGUAUUGAUGCAGAUCCUCUUAUUGACCACAAGAUGGAGCUGAAACUCUGAUUUCGUGCAUCUCUUUGUUACAAAUGAAACAGACUUGAAAUGAAAACACAUGUUUAAUCAAUAUAUAAUAGAUACUUUAUUUGUUCAAACAUGCGUAUGCACUCAGUAAGCAGUCAAACAUUGCUUUAAAUACCAACAGUGAUUCAACAGCAAAAAUAAGUGAACAUUACCCAAUCCAUGUGAAAAUAAAAUUGAGAAUAUACUAAAAUCACAGUUUAGUUCGCCAAUUUAUGAAUAUUAAUCUACAAUCUUCUCACUUAUGACUUGUCAAAGUUCUCCACAAUCUCCACUAGGCAGCGUGAGCAGCGUGACAGAUCCUGCAGUGACCAUAGCUAGCCAUUUUGUUUUUUAUUCAUUUUCAGGAAACGACAUCUUAUUAUCAACAAUUAAAUGUGAAUGGCGUCCUAUGCUGACAUUUAACUAACUUCCAUCCAGAUGCAUAUGCAUGCAGCAGACUGGAAACGCAAGCUGGUGUGAUAAGUUUCUCAUGCAAUGUAAUGUGUAUUUAUAUAGCGCAUUUUUCUGUAUGGCAAUACACCCAAACCACUUCACAAUCAUGAGGGAUCUCCGCACCACCACCAGAGUGCAGCACCCAUGAUGUGAUGAAAGCCACAGGAUAACGGCGCCAGUGCUUCACCACACACCAGCUAUAGGGGGAGUGGAGAGACAGUAAUAGAGCCAGUUCUGUAGAUGGGGAUGAUUGGGAGGCCAUGAUGGGUAAGGGCCGAUGGAGGGAAUUUAUCCAGGACACCGGGAUUACACCCCUACUCUUUAGAAAAAGAGUCAGGACCUCUGUUUAACGUCUCAUCCGAAGGACAGAUGUUGCUGCAUUUAAAGGUUCAAGAUUGGUGACUGGUAAAUUCACAUCACAUGAUUGUGUGAGAGAAAUAGAAGAUUAAAACAUGACAUCUCUGUACAGAAAUGUUAAAUAUGGGGCAGUCGCUCGCUUUAUCAUUCUCCAAUCCUCUUCUUUUAUCCCGCCUCUUUUCAGUGCCGUAUGACAGAAUCUCACAUGCUCAAACUCUAGUGACUGCAGCUUUACUGGUUGAAAUUCAGUUCAAUUCCUGAUAUUGCAUUUGCUUAACAGGAUAUGAAGUCUUGAUGUGAAGAAUGCUGAUUGUUGAUAUCUAGAGUUUAUAUCCAGAGAAUGAAUGAAGGUCAAAACAACUUGCUGAAACUUGCAACCUGAAAGUCAAAAGAACAAUGAGAGCUGUUAAUGUCACUCAAUGACACAAAGUUCAGUAAAGCAGCAAAUAAAACAGACACACAGUGCAGAUAAAAUGCAGAAUCAUGCGUCAUGCAACCCACCGGUAAGUAACUGUACUAUUAUUAGUGCAUAUGUUUUGCAUAAUCAUUCAAGUUUGAUUAAUUAUAUCGAGAUUAGAAGGUUUAUCAGACUUUGUUUACAUGCUACUUUCAUUGUUAGUCUAUUGAAAAAACAAACAAAUGAAUGUAGCGUUUAUUUUAAUGUAGAGUGUUUUAAGUCAGACAAAAUAGGAUUGAUGGUUGAAUCAUUUUACUAACACUUUUAAUUUACAGCUAUAGAAAAACUACUUGAAAAUGUAGAGUUUCUCUGAAUUGAUUAGAUACACGUUUUAAGAAAAAAUAUUACAACUUGUUUUUAUAUUUAUAUUGUUAAGGUCUGAAUAUAGAUUACACAUUUCAAUAUUAUUUAUAAUCAGUCAGAAUUAUAGAUGUGUUCAUUUGUCGUGA